CCUGCAUGCCCGUGACGCAAGGAACGGCGAACGGCUCAGUAAUACUGCGAUGAUCUGCUCCGCGCGAACGAUAACCACGGGAAACUGUGGCUAAGAGCGCGGAUUGAGACGCAGCCCUAUCAGCCUGUUGGUAGUGUAACGGACUACCAAAGCAGCGACGGGUGACGGGAAAUUAGGGUUUGAUUCCGGAGAGGGAGCCUGAGAGAUGGCUCCCACGUCCAAGGACGGCAGCAGGCGCGAAAAUUGCCCACUCUCUCGCGAGGAGGCGGUUACGAGGCGUGACGGAAGGGCGCACUGUAAAGAUGUGCGCGAACGCGAUUGGAGGGCAAGUUCGGUGCCAGCAGCCGCGGUAAUACCGACUCCAAGAGUGUCUAUGGUGGAUGCUGCAGUUAAAAAGUCCGUAGUCGGCACUGCGACGAAAGCGCGCCGUUCGAUGGCGCAGGCGUUGCAGGAGCUUGCGGAGCGGGCGGGGGGCACGGUAUAGGCAGGCGAGAGAUGAAAUGGCCAAGACCCUGCCUGGACCGACGGCGGCGAAGGCGGUGCCCUCGCACGCAUCUGUGGAUCAAGGACGAAGGCCGGAGGAUCGAAAGUGAUUAGAGACCGCUGUAGUUCCGGCAGUAAACGAUGCCGACUGGAUGGUGCUUGUGGCACUGUGCGCGAGAAAUCUGUGAGUGUGUGGGCUCUGGGGAUAGUAUGCUCGCAAGAGGGAAACUUAAAGAGAUUGACGGAAGGACACCACCAGGAGUGGAGUGUGCGGCUUAAUUUGACUCAACGCGGGACAACUUACCAAUGCCUGGUGUGUUUGAGAGCGACACGCGAGACACGCGGCGGUGGUGCAUGGCCGUUUGAAAUGGAUGGCGUGAGCUUUGGAUUAAGUUCCGGAAGAUGUGAGACCCUUGGACUGCGCCUGUUGAGGGCGAGGAGGGAGUGGAACACAACAGGUCCGUUAUGCCCUGAGAUGUGUUGGGCUGCACGCGCACUACGAUAUUCUGCGGGUGCGGAGAUGUGCGGGAUUGAUGCUUGUGAAUGUGUCAUGAACGUGGAAUUCCUAGUAAGGGCUGUUCACUAGGCAGUCUUGAAUGGGUCCCUGUCCUUUGUACACACCGCCCGUCGCUAUCUAAGAUGGUGUUUUGGACGAAGACUGGGAGGUCUGAGUUCUGGAUGCUAGAUCAGAUAUAAGUCGUAACAUGGCUGCUGUUGGAGAACCAGCUGCAGGAUCAGUG
This 1223-nucleotide ribosomal RNA is filed under the name Microsporidium sp. PLA. RNAcentral describes it as "bacterial SSU rRNA". It matches the Rfam family "Microsporidia small subunit ribosomal RNA". Lineage: Eukaryota; Fungi; Microsporidia. The record is from RNAcentral.